AGCAUAUACAAACCACUACAUUAUCCCUUCUUUAGGACUCUACCAUCUGGGAGCAUUCUUAACAUCCUGUAAGAAUUCUCAUGGUUAAACUCAGUCCCACAGGUAAAGAGUGCUGAGAUUGUUGCCAGAAGAAAACCUACCAGUAUUGGCUCCACCAGCCCAAAGCCUAUGAGUCCAUUGCAGCCAGCACAUAGCCACUGCUCCUUGCCUCAGCAGUUAAACUCAUUUUGUGACCCUCCUCACUAUCAACUGUGAUUCUUCCUCAACUCUACAGUUCGGAUCAGGCUGGCUGCCUGAAGAGUCUCCUCCUGUGACAUUUGGACAUCAUAAAGCUGUGUGUUUCUGAAAGACUGAAAAGUGCUGUGGUCUUCAUGUCAGCAUUCAUAAUCCAACUGUUAGAACAUGUUUCACCCAGACAUCCACCAUAUUGAAAUCCUCCUCCCACUAGUUUUCCCCAGCAACCCCCUUUCUUCUGGGUUAGCUAUGCACUCUCUUCUGCAUGGACCACCACUGAGGACCUGUGUAAUACAGCACACUUGACUUCAUAUGAUUACACCACCCAUUGGGUAGUAAUCAUACUUUAAUAAUCCAUUCUUUUCUCAGUCUGCAUUCCCAGCUGAUAGUUGUCAAUUAAUAAACGCCAGUUGUAUAAACCCA
Molecule: non-coding RNA, 657 nt
Organism: Rattus norvegicus (Norway rat)
Lineage: Eukaryota; Metazoa; Chordata; Mammalia; Rodentia; Muridae
Source: RefSeq, a predicted model, not a curated record